This 254-nucleotide ribosomal RNA is filed under the name uncultured bacterium. Its description in RNAcentral is "partial 16S ribosomal RNA". It matches the Rfam family "Bacterial small subunit ribosomal RNA", at positions 524 to 776 of the family's 1533-position model. The record is from RNAcentral.
UACGUAGGGGGCUAGCGUUGUCCGGAUUUAUUGGGCGUAAAGAGCUCGUAGGCGGUUUGGUGAGUCGGAUGUGAAAUCUCCAGGCUCAACUUGGAGGGGUCAUCCGAUACUGCCAUGACUAGAGUUCGGUAGAGGAGCGUGGAAUUCCUGGUGGAGCGGUGAAAUGCGUAGAGAUCGGAAAGAACACCAACGGCGAAAGCACUCUGCUGGGCCGACACUGACACUGAGAGACGAAAGCUAGGGGAGCGAAUGGG